This 1128-nucleotide ribosomal RNA is filed under the name human gut metagenome. RNAcentral describes it as "bacterial LSU rRNA". It matches the Rfam family "Bacterial large subunit ribosomal RNA", at positions 837 to 1984 of the family's 2925-position model. The record is from RNAcentral.
GCCCGGAGAUAGCUGGUUCUCCCCGAAAUAGCUUUAGGGCUAGCCUCAAGCGUAGAGAAACGGAGGUAGAGCACUGAAUGUCCUAGGGGGUAUUGCACUUACCGAAGACUAUCAAACUCCGAAUGCCGUUUUCUUUUACUUGGGAGUCAGACUGUGGGUGAUAAGAUUCAUAGUCAAAAGGGCAACAGCCCAGAUCGUCAGCUAAGGUCCCUAAAUGUACGUUAAGUGGUAAAGGAUGUGGGAUUGCACAGACAACCAGGAUGUUGGCUUAGAAGCAGCCACUCAUUUAAAGAGUGCGUAAUAGCUCACUGGUCGAGUGAUCCUGCGCCGAAAAUUUCCGGGGCUAAAACGUACUACCGAAGCUACGGCAUCAUUUAUGAUGGGUAGGGGAGCUUCGUAUGCAGGCUGAAGCAUGACCGUAAGGACAUGUGGACAGUAUACGAGUGAGAAUGUUGGCAUGAGUAGCGAGACGUGGGUGAGAAUCCCACGGGCCGUAAACCCAAGGUUUCCAGGGGAAGGUUCGUCCGCCCUGGGUUAGUCGGGACCUAAGCCGAGGCCGAAAGGCGUAGGUGAUGGACAACAGGUUGAUAUUCCUGUACCGCCAAUAAGCGUUUGAGAGAUGGAGUGACACAGUAGGAUAAGCUAACCGUACUGUUGGUUAUGUACGGCUAAGCAUUGAGGCAGUCUAAAUAGGCAAAUCCGUUUAGACAAUGCUAGGAUGUGAUGGGGAAGCCCUUCGGGGCGAAGUAGCUGAUUUCACACUGUCAAGAAAAGCUUCUAUCGAGUUUAAAGGCGCCCGUACCGUAAACCGACACAGGUGGGUGAGGAGAGUAUCCUAAGGCCAGCGAGAGAACUAUUGUUAAGGAACUCGGCAAAAUGACCCCGUAACUUAGGGAGAAGGGGUGCCUGUCUAUGACAGGCCGCAGAGAAUAGGCCCAAGCGACUGUUUACCAAAAACACAGGUUUCUGCUAAGUCGCAAGACGAUGUAUAGGAGCUGACGCCUGCCCGGUGCUGGAAGGUUAAGGGGAUCUGUUAGAGCAAUCGAAGCAGUGAACUUAAGCCCCAGUAAACGGCGGCCGUAACUAUAACGGUCCUAAGGUAGCGAAAUUCCUUGUCGGGUAAGUUCC